GAUGAACGCUGGCGGCGUGCCUAAUACAUGCAAGUCGAGCGAACGGACGAGAAGCUUGCUUCUCUGAUGUUAGCGGCGGACGGGUGAGUAACACGUGGAUAACCUACCUAUAAGACUGGGAUAACUUCGGGAGACCGGAGCUAAUACCGGAUAAUAUUUUGAACCGCAUGGUUCAAAAGUGAAAGACGGUCUUGCUGUCACUUAUAGAUGGAUCCGCGCUGCAUUAGCUAGUUGGUAAGGUAACGGCUUACCAAGGCAACGAUGCAUAGCCGACCUGAGAGGGUGAUCGGCCACACUGGAACUGAGACACGGUCCAGACUCCUACGGGAGGCAGCAGUAGGGAAUCUUCCGCAAAGGGCGAAAGCCUGACGGAGCAACGCCGCGUGAGUGAUGAAGGUCUUCGGAUCGUAAAACUCUGUUAUUAGGGAAGAACAUAUGUGUAAGUAACUGUGCACAUCUUGACGGUACCUAAUCAGAAAGCCACGGCUAACUACGUG
This 497-nucleotide ribosomal RNA is filed under the name uncultured bacterium. Its description in RNAcentral is "partial 16S ribosomal RNA". It matches the Rfam family "Bacterial small subunit ribosomal RNA", at positions 28 to 507 of the family's 1533-position model. The record is from RNAcentral.